RNAcentral lists this ribosomal RNA (499 nucleotides) under uncultured bacterium. RNAcentral's name for it is "partial 16S ribosomal RNA". It matches the Rfam family "Bacterial small subunit ribosomal RNA", at positions 28 to 507 of the family's 1533-position model. The record is from RNAcentral.
GAUGAACGCUGGCGGCGUGCCUAAUACAUGCAAGUCGAGCGAACAGACGAGAGUGCUUGCACUCUCUGACGUUAGCGGCGGACGGGUGAGUAACACGUGGGUAACCUACCUAUAAGACUGGGAUAACUUCGGGAAACCGGAGCUAAUACCGGAUAAUAUUUAGCUUCGCAUGAAGCAAUAGUGAAAGACGGUUCUGCUGUCACUUAUAGAUGGACCCGCGGUGUAUUAGCUAGUUGGUGAGGUAACGGCUCACCAAGGCAACGAUACAUAGCCGACCUGAGAGGGUGAUCGGCCACACUGGGACUGAGACACGGCCCAGACUCCUACGGGAGGCAGCAGUAGGGAAUCUUCCGCAAUGGACGAAAGUCUGACGGAGCAAUGCCGCGUGAGUGAAGAAGGUUUUCGGAUCGUAAAACUCUGUUGUAAGGGAAGAACAAGUACGUUAGUAACUGAACGUACCUUGACGGUACCUUACCAGAAAGCCACAGCUAACUACGUG